CGUUCCGGCCUUUUAUUAUAGACCAGAAUGCGUUUUGGAUAUUUUGAAAUUGCCAGAACGCGUCGAGCAUAUAAACAAACAGCCCAAAAAGCGAUUUUGUAAGUGUCUCAACUUGUCAUUCGUAAUCGAUGUAGGUUUCAUAUUUCGUUCUGUGGCAACGGUUGGAGCGUCAUUUUAGUUUAGUGUUUAAUUCGAGCGCGUGUAAAAAUUUCGCUAGAGCGAAAAUGUGUGCUAGUGCCAUGGAAGACCUUAAGUUACGUUUGAGUGAUGAUUUGCAACAAUUAAUUUGUGAUAGCAAUGAUCGUAGCAAUAUUUUUACAAGAGAAAGAUACUAUGAAAUACUUUCAGAGGUAAAGGAAGCAAAGGCUUGUAAAAGUAACGGUGACCCAAUUUCUUCAAAACAAAGGCGACGAUUGAAAAGGUACGAUAUUUUAAAAAUUGGUGAAACUGAAAAGCUGAUAGAGAAGAGGGCGGAUGAGACUGCUGAGCUGCGUUAUUUCUGCACGACUGAUGAAUUAUUUGAUAUCAUUCAUUCUGCUCAUGUAGGAGCAGGGCAUAAGAGAUUACGAGGUUUGCUUUUUGGAGUUUUUCCAACCGACAUAAAAUCUAAUUAUAUUCUUUUAUUUAUUGUAGUGAUGGACUCAGAAUUAAAGAGGAAAUAUUGUAAUAUAACACGGCAAAUAAUUGAGAUUUAUUUAUUACUUUGCAUAGAGUGUCAAUUAAAAAAGAAAGUGCAACGAAAAGGUUUAGUGGUUAAACCAAUUUUAACAAAUGAAAUGUUUUCGCGCUGUCAAGUAGACUUAAUUGACAUGCAAAGUGAACCAGACCAAGAUUUUCGUUUCAUUCUCAAUUAUCAGGAUCAUUCAACAAAAUUCACCGUGCUCAGAGCACUAAAAACAAAGACAGCUGAAGAAGUGGCCUAUCAUUUAUUAGAUAUUUUCUGUUUGUUCGGCGCCCCUAUGAUUUUACAAAGCGACAAUGGCAGAGAAUUUGCAAACCGCAUCGUAGAAAAUCUUGCUGAAAUGUGGCCCGGAUUGAAGUUGGUCCAUGGAAAACCUCGUCAUUCGCAAAGCCAAGGGUCCGUAGAGAGAUCGAAUCAAGAUGUAAGGGACAUGUUGGUUACAUGGUUGGCUGAAAAAAAACACAACGAAAUGGUCUGAAGGACUGCGGUUUGUGCAAAGCAAUAAAAAUCGUUCUCUGCAUACAGGAAUAACUAAAAGUCCUUAUGAAGCUAUGUUCGGCACGCCUCAAAAGAUCGGUCUUAAAGAUUCGUCACUUCCUAAGGAACUGCUAUCGAACAUUAAAACAGAAGAGGAACUACAAAAGUUGUGCAAUCAAGAAAAUUCAGACGAACGAGAAGAUGGACAUUUGCGUCUAGUUGACGACGAUAAUUCGAUAAACAGAAGGAAUACUGAAGAUAAACAACAACAACAACAACAACAAGAGAAAAAUGUCUGUACAAUAUGCGAAAAAGAAAUGUCAGAUUCCCUUAGAUGUUCAGUUUGUUGCUUAUCUAUUCAUAUCAUCUGCGGAAAAGCCAAGGAAGGAAAUGGAGGGGGUGAACAAAGCAUUAUAUGUAAUCGAUGUUUACGAAAUGAAAAUAUUAGUAAUGUACGGGUCGAGGCUAAAGGUGGACUGGAAAAGCAGGCCGAGAAAAUGAUCGCUCUCUCGAAUUCAAAGUUACCACCUAUUGAUGUAGGAAAAACCGUUAUUAUACGAGUACCUGAUGUGGACAAAGGUAGACUUGCCCCGAGAAACGUGUUAGCUGUUGUACUCAGUAUAAAUGACUCUGGACUUUAUCAGCUUGGAACGAAAGAUGGAACUUUGCAAUCGCUGUAUAGCCGUAAUGAGUUUACCUUAGCCGACUCCGACUUUAUUGAUAUUUCAACAGUCCCGUCAACGUCUGUAUCUCUUCGAACUGCUUCUGGCUUAGCAUCUGGAUCGAAACAAGGCUUUAUACAGUGCAAUUGCAAACGAUAUUGCAUCGACAGAAAAUGUGCGUGUAGGGCCAAGAAAGUAGUGUGUAACAGUAAAUGUCACCGCAACAGUUCAUGUAAAAAUAAGUAAGCCCUUAAGGUUCCAAAAGUUUUACGUAUUUUGAUUUUCUCUGUUUCUUUUAGAGUUGAUUUUGUUACUUUUAACAUUUGAAUGUUAUACUUACAUAAACAAUAAAAAUAUUUUUCCAUAUUA
RNAcentral lists this unclassified non-coding RNA (2190 nucleotides) under Anthonomus grandis grandis. Its description in RNAcentral is "sCAN domain-containing protein 3-like". The record is from RNAcentral. Lineage: Eukaryota; Metazoa; Arthropoda; Insecta; Coleoptera; Curculionidae.